GAGUAUGGCGGCCAUAGCGGCAGGGCCACUCCUGUUCCCAUUCCGAACACAGAAGAUAAGCCUGCCCACGUUGCUUACUGUACUGAGGUACGAGAGUCCUCGGGAAAUCUGCGUCGCUGCUAUGCUC
Molecule: ribosomal RNA, 127 nt
Filed under: Methanococcoides methylutens
Lineage: Archaea; Methanobacteriati; Methanobacteriota; Methanomicrobia; Methanosarcinales; Methanosarcinaceae
Source: RNAcentral